This 19-nucleotide non-coding RNA is filed under the name Arabidopsis thaliana (thale cress). The record is from RNAcentral. Lineage: Eukaryota; Viridiplantae; Streptophyta; Magnoliopsida; Brassicales; Brassicaceae.
GGACCAAAAUAGAUGUUGA